RNAcentral lists this ribosomal RNA (922 nucleotides) under uncultured Spirochaetota bacterium. Its description in RNAcentral is "bacterial SSU rRNA". It matches the Rfam family "Bacterial small subunit ribosomal RNA", at positions 8 to 916 of the family's 1533-position model. The record is from RNAcentral. Lineage: Bacteria; Pseudomonadati; Spirochaetota.
AGAGUUUGAUCCUGGCUCAGAACGAACGCUGGCGGCGCGUUUUAAGCAUGCAAGUCGAACGGCAAGGAGAGUAGCAAUACUUUCCCUAGAGUGGCGAACGGGUGAGUAACACGUAGGUGAUCUACCUCUGGAUGGGGGAUAGUCCGUGGAAACACGGGGUAAUACCGCAUGAGGCCUCGGGGGUAAAGCCCCGGGGUGAAAGGUCCAACUGGACCGUCUGGAGAUGAGCCUGCGGCCCAUUAGGCAGUUGGCGGGGUAACGGCCCACCAAACCGACGAUGGGUAGCCGGCCUGAGAGGGUGUACGGCCACACUGGAACUGAGACACGGUCCAGACUCCUACGGGAGGCAGCAGCUAAGAAUCUUCCGCAAUGGGGGAAACCCUGACGGAGCGACGCCGCGUGGACGAUGAAGGCCGUAAGGUUGUAAAGUCCUUUUGCGGGCGAAGAGUAAGGGGGGGAGUGGAAAGCCCCCCUGAUGACGUUAGCCCGCGAAUAAGCCCCGGCCAAUUACGUGCCAGCAGCCGCGGUAAUACGUAUGGGGCGAGCGUUGUUCGGAGUUAUUGGGCGUAAAGGGCGUGUAGGCGGCCCGACAAGUCUGGUGUGAAAUCGCAGGGCUCAACCCUGCGGGUGCGCUGGAAACUGUCGGGCUGGAGUCCCGAGGGGGAAGCUGGAAUUCCUGGUGUAGGAGUGAAAUCUGUAGAGAUCAGGAAGAACACCGGUGGCGAAGGCGAGCUUCUAUUCGAGGACUGACGCUGAGGCGCGAAAGCGUGGGGAGCAAACAGGAUUAGAUACCCUGGUAGUCCACGCUGUAAACGAUGUGCACUAGGCGUGGGACACGUCGGUGUUCUGUGCCGUAGCCAACGCGAUAAGUGCACCGCCUGGGGAGUAUGCUCGCAAGGGUGAAACUCAAAGGAAUUGACGG